This 489-nucleotide ribosomal RNA is filed under the name uncultured bacterium. Its description in RNAcentral is "partial 16S ribosomal RNA". It matches the Rfam family "Bacterial small subunit ribosomal RNA", at positions 28 to 507 of the family's 1533-position model. The record is from RNAcentral.
GACGAACGCUGGCGGCGUGCUUAACACAUGCAAGUCGAACGGUGAAGGGAUCAGCUUGCUGGUUCUGGAUGAGUGGCGAACGGGUGAGUAACACGUGAGUAACCUGCCCCCUUCUUCUGGAUAACCGCAUGAAAGUGUGGCUAAUACGGGAUAUUCUGGGUCUGUCGCAUGAUGGGUCUGGGAAAGAUAUUGUUUCGGUGGGGGAUGGGCUCGCGGCCUAUCAGCUUGUUGGUGGGGUGAUGGCCUACCAAGGCGGUGACGGGUAGCCGGCCUGAGAGGGUGGACGGUCACACUGGGACUGAGACAAGGCCCAGACUCCUACGGGAGGCAGCAGUGGGGAAUAUUGCACAAUGGGCGAAAGCCUGAUGCAGCGACGCCGCGUGAGGGAUGGAGGCCUUCGGGUUGUAAACCUCUUUCGCCAGUGAAGCAGGCCUGCUCCUUGUGGGUGGGUUGACGGUAGCUGGAUAAGAAGCGCCGGCUAACUACGUG